RNAcentral lists this ribosomal RNA (442 nucleotides) under uncultured bacterium. Its description in RNAcentral is "partial 16S ribosomal RNA". It matches the Rfam family "Bacterial small subunit ribosomal RNA", at positions 338 to 795 of the family's 1533-position model. The record is from RNAcentral.
CCUACGGGAGGCAGCAGUGGGGAAUAUUGGGCAAUGGGCGCAAGCCUGACCCAGCAACGCCGCGUGAAGGAAGAAGGCUUUCGGGUUGUUAACUUCUUUUCUCCGGGACGAAGCAAGUCACGGUCCCUGAGGAAUGAGCCACGGCUAACGACGUGCCAGCAGCCGCGGAAAUACGUAGGGCGCAAGCGUUCUCCGGAUUUACUGGGGUAAAGGGCGUGUAGGCGGGCAAGCAAGUCAGAGGGGAAAACCAUGGGCUCAACCUGUGCCCUGCAUUUGAAACUGUUGUUCUUGAGUACUGGAGAGGCAGACGGAAUUCCUAGUGGAGCGGUGAAAUGCGUAGAUAUUAGGAGGAACACCAGUGGCGAAGGCGGUCUGCUGGACAGCAACUGACGCUGAGGCGCGAAAGCGUGGGGAGCAAACAGGAUUAGAUACCCUAGUAGUC